UCCUGUGUUCUAACCAAAGCUGAGAGAAACAGGAUGUGGCAAAUGUCACUAGACUGCCUGCCCUGGGUUCAUCAAGGCUGAAAAGUGACAGUUCUAGAAAGGAGCAUUGGAUCUGACCGAGUUGGUAAUCCCUUGUUUGGAAAAAAACCACUGAUCUAGGAGUCAAAAGACUGAAUUUUAAUCAUAGCCCCUAUGAAAUCCAGCAAGUCCCUUAAAUUCUGAGCCUCAUCUGCCACCCCUGGAAAAUGGGUACCAGCACCUGCACUGCCCACCUCACAGGGUUGGUGUGAACAUGAACUGACUCACAGUGGGUGGAACUCCCGAGUAUCUGGCUCUACAUAAGAAGGAAUUUUGGUCAUUGCAGCUGUCACAAAAGAAAAAGUGCUGGCAAUACCAGCUUCCUUCUUCCCUGUCACUAAAAAACAGAUUCUAGGAAUAAAGAAACUUGUAUUAAGAGCAUAGGUUUCUCCCAUUACACGUUCCUGGCAUAAAUCAACUAAAUGAAUGCCCUCCUAAGAAGUAAUAACACAUCGCGUGCUUUUUGAGAACCAAACCCUUAGCAUUCACACCUUGGCACCUUGCAUGUCAGGUGAGCAGUAGGUACUUCUGGACAUGAAUUUAAUUUGGUCUCUGCAAGUUAAAGUUGAGUUAAAUUUAGAGAAGAUCUAAGAAAAAUGAAAAUUAUUUGAAUUCACAAAAACAUGUCUUUUUUGGUAAAGAACUGUUAAAUGAAUGGAUACUCUUUCAGGGGAAAAAAUGUCUGAACCUCACUAUUUUAAAUAUGUGGGAGAUUUUUACAUGAAUGGUGAUAAGUGGGUUUUCAUUUUUGACAAAAGAAAUUAGCAGCAAGGGAGCAUUCAGUUAGGAAUAACUAAAAUCUAGGAACUGCUACAGUGGCUACCAAAGUGCUUUAAAAUAUUCUUUCCUUUCAAGUCUCAAAAAUAGAAUUUAAGAUACAAGAGGCUCUGCCUAACGAUGACAAUGAAUUUCAUCUCCUAUAUCCUCCUUCCCUCCCUCUCUUGCUUGCCUGUGCAGUUCUCUCUUUAUCUAUAAGAAUCAGAGUGAAAGAGACUGAAAUAAUUUUCUCCAGUGGCCAUCUUUGGCAUGCUUAGUAAUGACAACAAAGAAAGCCUCUAGGUUAUUGUUUUUAGAAACCAGAGUAUUUUCAACUCUAAAGUUGGCAAGAAAAUGUGCCCCAGGGAAAGAUAAUAUUCAAGAAGCCUGUCUUAUCCUUGACGACAAAAUAAUCUUCGGUAGGUCUGUAUUCUGAUUUGGUAGCAUCCGGGAAGAAUUAAAAGCCAUCUUUGUCUUUUUGUUGAUCAAUAAAAACUGCGAGGGUAACACGAACACAAGACUCAAAGUACUGUACACUGUAAUAUGUAAGUGAAUAAAAGGACAUUACCUUCAAUUACACAGCAAUGUAUCUAAUUUUGGUAUAGAUUUUCUACUUGUGAAAUAAACAACCUUUCCACAGCAACUGGAGCUGAGCACACAAUAGCUGUCUAGAACCCUUUACCCUGCCAAGAGCUUGAGCCAAAGCAGAUAAAAUAAAGGAAGACGUUUAUGGCACUUUAUUCCAUGUCUCAACGGUGCAGCCUGCUGCCACCCAGACACUCACGUGCCUCCAUUGUCCACUCGAAUGGCUUAAUAAGACAAAUCCUCAGGAGGAAAAUAGCCACCUGAAAAUGAUUCCAAGAAAAAUCUGACUUCAUAAAGGCUGUUUGCAACUCCCACUGGGCAGAGUAGAGCAGGCACUACAAUUAGGAUGUGCAUUCAGGCAAUAACACUUUGAGAUUUUCUACAGCCUGUAAGAAUAAGUUUCUUCACUGAAAUGCCAAUGAGGCAUGAAACCAAGCAGGAAGCUGUGGACCAGGACCAGGCCAGGUCGCGUGAGAAGCUAAGGAUAACAGGGAGGAUGGGGAGAUGUUCAUGGCACUAGGAACUGGGAUGGCUAUGCUUAUUUCAACUCUGAGCAAGGGGCAUGCAGAUACCUCGUUGCUCUCACCCCAGCAGCAUAUUUUAGCACCUCUAGGAGCAACCUAGAGCCAGUAAUGAGGGGAAAAUCCAGAGACUCCAAAAAGCAAUGAGGCAGCUGAGGCCACACUGACGGAGAGACUCAGAAGGUUGCAGGGUAAAAAUGUGACAGGAUACAUUUACAAUGGAAAUGCCUACACAGGCAUCUGGGGGUUAUCCUGGACAGACACAACUUGACGUGUAAACCACAAGAAUAUAUUAUGUUGCUCCUGCACAUUUUUAAAAACUUAUUUUAAAAAUUUCCUUAAUAGAAAUCUUUUUCUUUUGGUAUACGGUUCUAUGAAUUUUAACACACAUAUAGAUCUGGGUAACAAUCAUCAAAAUCAAAACAUAUAUUAGUUCCAUCACCCCCUGAAAAUAUUCCCCUGUGCUAUCGAUCCUACCUUUACAGUAAUCUCAACCCCAGUCAACCACUGGUUUCCCAUCAUUAUAUCUUUGUCUUCCAGAAUGUGACAAAAAUGGGAUUUUACAGUAUGUAACCUUUUGGGACUGCCUCCUUGCACUCAACAGAAUGCCUCUGAGAUUCACCCACAUUGCUGCAUGCAUCAAUAAUUCAUCUCUUUAAUAGUCCCUUGUAUGACUAUAUCACAAGUUAUCCAUUCACCUGCUGAGGGACAUUUGGGUUGUUUCUAGAAGUUUUUAAUAAUUAUGAAUAGAACUGCUAUAAAUAUUCAUGUUAUGCUUUUAUAUAAACAUAGCCUUCAUUUCUCUAAGACACUCAGAAGUGGUAUUGCUGGGUCAUAUGUUAGGUGUAUGUUUAACUUUAUAGAAAACUGCUAAAAUGCUUUCCAGAUCGGCUGUACUAUUUUGCAUUCCCACUAGCAAUAUAAGCAAUAUAUGAGAGUUCCAGUUGCUCCACAUCCUUGCCAACGCUUGGUAUUGUCAAUAUUUUUAAUUUUAGACAUUAGACUAGAUCGUAGUGGCAUCCCACCACAUAUGGUUUUAAUUUACAUUUCCCUCAGGGUUAACGAUGUUUCAAUACCUUUCAUUGCUUAUUUGCCAUCAUCAUAUCCUUUUUUACUGAAGUGUCUGUUCAAUCCUUUGUCCAUUUAAAAAAAUCAUGUUGCUUGUUUCUUUUUGUUGACUUUUGAGAUUUCUUUAUAUAUUCUAGAUUCAAGCCCUUUGUUAGAUAUCUGAUUUGUAAAUAUUUUCUCCUAGUCUGUAGCUUGUUUUUAAAUUGUGUUAAAUGCCUUUUGUAGAAAAAGUUUUACUUUUGACCAUGUCCUAUCAUCAACCUUUUUUUUGAUGGAUCUUGCUUUUGGUAUUGUGUUUAAGAAUUUUACCUACCCUCAAGUUCCAAAUAUCCCAUUUUCUUCUAGAACUUUUAUAGUACCAUGUUUUACAUUUAGAUCUACAAUCCGUUUUGAGUUAAUUCUGAAUAUAAAGUAUGAGGUUUAGGUUUAGGUUGAAGGUUUUUGGUUUUUCGUUUUUUUGUUUUUUGCAUCUAGAUGCAAAAUUGUUCCAGAACUUUUGUUGAAAAGUUUAUCCUUUUGCCUUUCAAUUUUUCCAUUGAAUCUACCACCUUUGUCAAAAAUAAAGUGACCAUAUAUGUCAGUCUAUUUCUGAACUCUUCAUUCUGUAACAUUAUUUGAUGUGUUUCUCUCCUUUCACCAAUACCAUACUGUUUUGAAUGCUGUAGCUUUAUCUUAAAUUUGAUUAAGGUGAUUCUUCUCACUUUAUUCUUCUUUUUCAAAAUUGUUUUAGCUAUCCUAGGUCCUUUUUUGUUCCAUAUAAAUUUUAAAAUCACUUUGUCCAUAUCUAUAAAAAAUCCUGUUGAGAUUUUGAUUAUUGUUAUGUUAAAUCUGUAAAUCAAUUUAAGGAGAACUGACUUCUUUACUAUGUUGAGUUUUCCAAUCUAUGAACACAGUACAUCUCUCUAUUUA
RNAcentral lists this long non-coding RNA (3917 nucleotides) under Homo sapiens (human). RNAcentral's name for it is "HSALNT0310589". The record is from RNAcentral. Lineage: Eukaryota; Metazoa; Chordata; Mammalia; Primates; Hominidae.